GGCUGCCUUAGCGCGGUGGUCCCACCUGACCCCAUGCCGAACUCAGAAGUGAAACGCCGUAGCGCCGAUGGUAGUGUGGGGUCUCCCCAUGCGAGAGUAGGGAACUGCCAGGC
RNAcentral lists this ribosomal RNA (113 nucleotides) under Escherichia coli T1282_01. Lineage: Bacteria; Pseudomonadati; Pseudomonadota; Gammaproteobacteria; Enterobacterales; Enterobacteriaceae. The record is from RNAcentral.